UAUGGUGUUAGGUUUACUUGCCUACAAGUUUGGUUCCACUUGGUACGGGCACCAUGCUCUGCUAUCAGCGUAUCUGUAGUAUCAGGGUAUUGUUACUACCUUGAAUGCUGAAUUUAAGGCUGACUGAUCAUGUAUUAGUCUGACUCCCUUCUGAAUUAUACAUAAGCAGAUUUUAGCAGGUCAUCCCAUGGUUGUCCACUAAUCUGGUGUCUGGUCCAUCUUCUUACCCUUGCAAUUUUAGUAUCAUCUGUCCAAUCUUGCCCUGACUGUGUAUAGACUGUUGAAUACUUCAAACAAUGAGCAAUUUGAAGUUCAGAAAUAUGACAAAUAUCUAAAAAUGGAUUCGUUUUUGGAGAAAUAACAUUGUGUAGAGUGGAAAUGCAGAACUAUAUGUUCCUAUUUCACCAACUGGUAUUGAAUAUGUGGUCAAUCUUUGUAGAAAAAACUACAAAGUCUAAACGUUAGUGUGUGAUACAUAUGGAAAAUUGUGAUGUCUAUUUUUUUGAAAUAUUUUUACUUUAUAAAAAGUUUUAAACAGGGCAUAGCAUUAGGUUUCAUAUUUUUGGCCAAGACGCUCGCGAGGCGAUGGCACAUGGCCGGCAAGGCUCGUUCUUAAGCGCACCAGCCCGCAAUUGAGGCGGCGCCCACGGCGCAGCCGUGGCCUUCGGAACGCACCGCGGGGGCAGUGCUACCGGCCACCAGCGCUGCUCCUCCCAGACGGUGGUGCCUAUGGCCAUGGUCCACUGGCCCCGGCCGGGCUCCCUGCGGAGGCGUGUGGGUGGCGGCCUCUGACUUGAAGUCUUCUUGAGAUUUGUACGUCGAUUGCUUGGUCGUCUCUUUGUGCUGUCACUACGUGUACUGAAGAUUAGUUACUUCGCUUUGACUUGGAGCGAGGUGCAGUGGUUUCAGGUUGCUGAUGCUGAUAUUUUCAUGUGAUGUUUGAAUGAUUGUGUGUCUGACCAAGCGUAGUUGCGCUUCUGACAAUGUAUUGGCCUUCCUUUGCUGCACCGAAGUUAGUGAAUUGUUCACCAUGCUUGACUUUGUUCUUAGCAGGGAAAUUUGUGGUGAUUCGUAAUCAAACUUGCAAAGAACAUCCUUCUGAUUAUGUUUGAAGAGGUACGAUGGAUGGUUGAGCUGAGACCACUGUUUGAUAUUUGUUUGCCUUUGCUUUGUAACCAGUGAGGGCUGAAGUGAAUGAAUCUGGAAGUGCUUUAGUGAUUAAUGCUCUGUCCCAAGUUAAGCAUAUUCUACUUCCGGUCACUGGCCGCAAGCCUUACCUUUCAGUUCUAAUUCCUUGAGAUCACCACAGUUGUGAAUAUAGCCAUUGUUUCAACAGAACAAACCUAAGCUUAGCAUGAAAGAGAGUAUGAAAGUUCUGAUCUCUUCAAAAUAUGUGAGGGGCCUUGCUACCUUAGUUGUUGCAUAUGGCAUUAUAAUCAAUUUUGUGUAAGUCACAUGGAAAUCGAAGCUCAAGGCACAGUUCCCCAGUCCAAACGAGCACUCAUCUUUCAUGGGUGAUUUCUCUACCGCAACUGGACUUGCAACUUUCAUGAUGAUGCUGUUAGGCUGGAUUACAUUCCAAAGAUUUGGUUGGGGGGUGGCUUCCAUUAUCACCCCCAUAGUUUUGUGGUGACUGGCGUUGGUUUCUUUUCUGACUUUCAACAAGUGCAGUUCAUUGCCGCAGAGCAGUCUUAGAAGAUCCGUGCACAUGUAGCCUUAUUUCUUAUUCCAAAUUUCAUCAUACAAAAAAAAUACUCAGUGUAACCUCAUUUCUGAUGUUUGCGAAAAUUAGAUUAUAAAAAUGUUGCAUAAUGGCACAUGA
Triticum dicoccoides is the source of this 1822-nucleotide long non-coding RNA. RefSeq lists it as uncharacterized. NCBI's taxonomy places the organism in Eukaryota, Viridiplantae, Streptophyta, Magnoliopsida, Poales, Poaceae. The record is from RefSeq and is a predicted model, not a curated record. The transcript is spliced from 3 exons.